This 395-nucleotide ribosomal RNA is filed under the name uncultured bacterium. RNAcentral's name for it is "partial 16S ribosomal RNA". It matches the Rfam family "Bacterial small subunit ribosomal RNA", at positions 523 to 918 of the family's 1533-position model. The record is from RNAcentral.
AUACGUAGGGUGCAAGCGUUAAUCGGAAUUACUGGGCGUAAAGCGUGCGCAGGCGGUUUUGUAAGACAGUGGUGAAAUCCCCGGGCUCCACCUGGGAACUGCCAUUGUGACCGCAAGGCUGGAGUGGGGCAGAGGGGGAUGGAAUUCCGCGUGUAGCAGUGAAAAGCGUAGAUAUGCGGGGGAACACCGAUGGCGAAGGCAAUCCCCUGGGCCUGCACGUACGCUCAUGCGCGAAAGCGUGGGGAGCAAACAGGAUUAGAUACCCUGGUAGUCCACGCCCUAAGCGAUGUCAACGGUGUGUUGGGGAUUUAUUUUCUCAGUAACGAAGCUAACGCGUGAAGUUGACCGCCUGGGGAGUACGGCCGCAAGGUUAAAACUCAAAGGAAUUGACGGGG